This is a long non-coding RNA of Medicago truncatula (barrel medic), 207 nucleotides long. RefSeq lists it as uncharacterized. The record is from RefSeq and is a predicted model, not a curated record. Lineage: Eukaryota; Viridiplantae; Streptophyta; Magnoliopsida; Fabales; Fabaceae. The transcript is spliced from 3 exons.
AUGAGAAUGGCAAAAUAUUUGAGAUACCUGACAAUGAUUGUGACAAAUAUCUAGGAAGCACAUCCAUAGCUUUUAAUCGUGAUUUCAAUGAAUAUGGGAAUCAAGAUUGUGACGAAGACUGCGAUGAGAACUAUGAACGCGACGACAUCCCUUUCAAUGAUAUUGCGGAUGAUGUCGACAUCAUGGAUGCAGAAGCUGAUGCAGACG